AUUGAACGCUGGCGGCAUGCCUUACACAUGCAAGUCGAACGGCAACAGGUUAAGCUGACGAGUGGCGAACGGGUGAGUAAUAUAUCGGAACGUGCCCAGUCGUGGGGGAUAACUGCUCGAAAGAGCAGCUAAUACCGCGUACGACCUGAGGGUGAAAGCGGGGGAUCGCAAGACCUCGCGCGAUUGGAGCGGCCGAUAUC
This 200-nucleotide ribosomal RNA is filed under the name uncultured bacterium. Its description in RNAcentral is "partial 16S ribosomal RNA". It matches the Rfam family "Bacterial small subunit ribosomal RNA", at positions 30 to 237 of the family's 1533-position model. The record is from RNAcentral.